CUUGACAAACAUAAAAGUAUUAGAAUGGGCUGAUAUGAUGAGCCAACCUUAACAAAAUCUCGGGUACAAGACGUUCUCUCGGAGGCACCAAGGCAUCCUUGGCAAGAGCUUCCUCAUCAACGGCAUGUAUCACAGAAACCAUAUGAUCAAAUAGAUCAUCCAUUCCACCUCUUAACGGAUCCUG
Molecule: long non-coding RNA, 184 nt
Organism: Hibiscus syriacus
Lineage: Eukaryota; Viridiplantae; Streptophyta; Magnoliopsida; Malvales; Malvaceae
Exons: 3
Source: RefSeq, a predicted model, not a curated record